UGGGGAAUAUUGGACAAUGGGCGAACGCCUGAUCCAGCCAUGCCGCGUGUGUGAAGAAGGUCUUCGGAUUGUAAAGCACUUUAAGUUGGGAGGAAGGGCAGUAAGCGAAUACCUUGCUGUUUUGACGUUACCGACAGAAUAAGCACCGGCUAACUCUGUGCUAGCAGCCGCGGUAAUACAGCGGGUGCAAGCGUUAAUCGGAAUUACUGGGCGUAAAGCGCGCGUAGGUGGUUGGUUAAGUUGAAUGUGAAAGCCCCGGGCUCAACCUGGGAACUGCAUCCAAGUCUGGCGAGCUAGAGUAGGGCAGAGGGUGGUGGAAUUUCCUGUGUAGCGGUGAAAUGCGUAGAUAUAGGAAGGAACACCAGUUGCGAAGGCGACCACCUGGGCUCAUACUGACACUGAGGUGAGAAAGCGUGGCGAGCAAACAGG
This 429-nucleotide ribosomal RNA is filed under the name Pseudomonadota bacterium. Its description in RNAcentral is "Proteobacteria bacterium partial 16S ribosomal RNA". It matches the Rfam family "Bacterial small subunit ribosomal RNA", at positions 355 to 776 of the family's 1533-position model. Lineage: Bacteria; Pseudomonadati; Pseudomonadota. The record is from RNAcentral.